RNAcentral lists this long non-coding RNA (301 nucleotides) under Helianthus annuus (common sunflower). RNAcentral's name for it is "sRNA HanXRQr2_Chr04g0164771". The record is from RNAcentral. Lineage: Eukaryota; Viridiplantae; Streptophyta; Magnoliopsida; Asterales; Asteraceae.
CAUGAGUUCCAACACUCAUUUGGUUUACAAGACCUCAUUCUACCCGAUCUUCCGAUUUAGGUGUCGAUUCCCUAACAUAGUAUCUGUUACCCUAGGAACCGCUUCAACACUUGAACUCUUGGUCUUUUGAGCUUUGUUAUACCCUUUGAACCGGGACUAUACGCAACCCCAGGUUGAUUCUUGUAGGAUGUUUAAAGUUUUCGACUGUUCAAGCAUGCAACGCAUAGGACUGCAUACGGGCCUUAGACUUCUAAAACAAAAGAACAAUUACAUGUAUUCUUUGUUUGUAAAACGAUGUUAA